RNAcentral lists this ribosomal RNA (207 nucleotides) under uncultured bacterium. RNAcentral describes it as "partial 16S ribosomal RNA". It matches the Rfam family "Bacterial small subunit ribosomal RNA", at positions 568 to 774 of the family's 1533-position model. The record is from RNAcentral.
UCCGCAGGUGGUCAGCCAAGUCUGCUGUCAAAUCAGGUUGCUUAACGACCUAAAGGCGGUGGAAACUGGCAGACUAGAGAUCAGUAGGGGUAGCAGGAAUUCCCAGUGUAGCGGUGAAAUGCGUAGAGAUUGGGAAGAACAUCGGUGGCGAAAGCGUGCUACUGGGCUGUAUCUGACACUCAGGGACGAAAGCUAGGGGAGCGAAAG